This 496-nucleotide ribosomal RNA is filed under the name uncultured bacterium. RNAcentral's name for it is "partial 16S ribosomal RNA". It matches the Rfam family "Bacterial small subunit ribosomal RNA", at positions 28 to 507 of the family's 1533-position model. The record is from RNAcentral.
GACGAACGCUGGCGGCGUGCCUAAUACAUGCAAGUUGAGCGAUGAAGAUUGGUGCUUGCACCAAUUUGAAGAGCAGCGAACGGGUGAGUAACGCGUGGGGAAUCUGCCUUUGAGCGGGGGACAACAUUUGGAAACGAAUGCUAAUACCGCAUAACAACUUUAAACAUAAGUUUUAAGUUUGAAAGAUGCCAUUGCAUCACUCAAAGAUGAUCCCGCGUUGUAUUAGCUAGUUGGUGAGGUAAAGGCUCACCAAGGCGAUGAUACAUAGCCGACCUGAGAGGGUGAUCGGCCACCUUGGGACUGAGCCACGGCCCAAGCUCCUACGGGAGGCAGCAGUAGGGAAUCUUCGGCAAUGACGAAAGUCUGACCGAGCAACGCCGCGUGAGUGAAGAAGGUUUUCGGAUCGUAAAACUCUGUUGGUAGAGAAGAACGUUGGUGAGAGUGGAAAGCUCAGCAAGUGACGGUAACUACCCAGAAAGGGACGGCUAACUACGUG